RNAcentral lists this unclassified non-coding RNA (263 nucleotides) under Hevea brasiliensis (rubber tree). The record is from RNAcentral. Lineage: Eukaryota; Viridiplantae; Streptophyta; Magnoliopsida; Malpighiales; Euphorbiaceae.
GGAAUUUUCUUCAAUCUCCUUUUGGUCAUCAGAUCUCUAACCUUUGCCACAUCUUUCGACCUCCCUGCAUUUGCAUAAAUGUUUGAAAGCAAUAUAUAAGGCCCAGGAUUCUGGGGCCGUAGCUCAAAAAGAGAUNUGCCUUCUCUGCCAAGUCUAUAUCCUUAUGGAUCCUGCAGGCUCCAAGCAAAGCAGACCACAAACCCUCGUCUUUCUCAACCGUCGUAUUUUCAAUAAAUCCCAAUGCCUCAUUUAGUCUCCCAGCU